UACGUAGGGUGCAAGCGUUGUCCGGAAUUAUUGGGCGUAAAGAGCUCGUAGGCGGUUUGUCGCGUCUGCUGUGAAAACCCAAGGCUCAACCUCGGGCCUGCAGUGGGUACGGGCAGACUAGAGUGCGGUAGGGGAGAUUGGAAUUCCUGGUGUAGCGGUGAAAUGCGCAGAUAUCAGGAAGAACACCCGUGGCUAAGGCGGUUCUCUAGUACGGUACUGACGCUGAGACGCGAAAGCGUGGGGAGCGAACAGG
RNAcentral lists this ribosomal RNA (253 nucleotides) under uncultured bacterium. RNAcentral describes it as "partial 16S ribosomal RNA". It matches the Rfam family "Bacterial small subunit ribosomal RNA", at positions 524 to 776 of the family's 1533-position model. The record is from RNAcentral.